This 495-nucleotide ribosomal RNA is filed under the name uncultured bacterium. RNAcentral describes it as "partial 16S ribosomal RNA". It matches the Rfam family "Bacterial small subunit ribosomal RNA", at positions 30 to 507 of the family's 1533-position model. The record is from RNAcentral.
UGAACGCUGGCGGCGUGUCUAAUACAUGCAAGUCGAGCGAACGGACGAGAAGCUUGCUUCUCUGAUGUUAGCGGCGGACGGGUGAGUAACACGUGGAUAACCUACCUAUAAGACUGGGAUAACUUCGGGAAACCGUAGCUAAUACCGGAUAAUAUUUUGAACCGCAUGGUUCAAAAGUGAAAGACGGUCUUGCUGUCACUUAUAGAUGGAUCCGCGCUGCAUUAGCUAGUUGGUAAGGUAACGGCUUACCAAGGCAACGAUGCAUAGCCGACCUGAGAGGGUGAUCGGCCACACUGGAACUGAGACACGGUCCAGACUCCUACGGGAGGCAGCAGUAGGGAAUCUUCCGCAAUGGGCGAAAGCCUGACGGAGCAACGCCGCGUGAGUGAUGAAGGUCUUCGGAUCGUAAAACUCUGUUAUUAGGGAAGAACAUAUGUGUAAGUAACUGUGCACAUCUUGACGGUACCUAAUCAGAAAGCCACGGCUAACUACGUG